ACGCUAGCUACAGGCUUAACACAUGCAAGUCGAGGGGAAACGGCAUUAAGUGCUUGCACUUUUUGGACGUCGACCGGCGCACGGGUGAGUAACGCGUAUCCAACCUUCCCAUGACUAAGGGAUAACCUGCCGAAAGGCAGACUAAUACCUUAUGGUCUUCACUGACGGCAUCAGAUGUGAAGUAAAGAUUUAUCGGUUAUGGAUGGGGAUGCGUCUGAUUAGCUUGUUGGCGGGGUAACGGCCCACCAAGGCAACGAUCAGUAGGGGUUCUGAGAGGAAGGUCCCCCACAUUGGAACUGAGACACGGUCCAAACUCCUACGGGAGGCAGCAGUGAGGAAUAUUGGUCAAUGGGCGAGAGCCUGAACCAGCCAAGUAGCGUGCAGGAAGACGGCCCUAUGGGUUGUAAACUGCUUUUGUAUGGGGAUAAAGUCAAUCACGUGUGAUUGUUUGCAGGUACCAUACGAAUAAGGACCGGCUAAUUCCGUGCCAGCAGCCGCGGUAAUACGGAAGGUCCGGGCGUUAUCCGGAUUUAUUGGGUUUAAAGGGAGCGUAGGCUGGAGAUUAAGUGUGUUGUGAAAUGUAGACGCUCAACGUCUGACUUGCAGCGCAUACUGGUUUCCUUGAGUACGCACAACGUUGGCGGAAUUCGUCGUGUAGCGGUGAAAUGCUUAGAUAUGACGAAGAACUCCGAUUGCGAAGGCAGCUGACGGGAGCGCAACUGACGCUGAAGCUCGAAGGUGCGGGUAUCGAACAGGAUUAGAUACCCUGGUAGUCCGCACAGUAAACGAUGGAUGCCCGCUGUUGGUACCUGGUAUCAGCGGCUAAGCGAAAGCAUUAAGCAUCCCACCUGGGGAGUACGCCGGCAACGGUGAAACUCAAAGGAAUUGACGGGGGCCCGCACAAGC
This 906-nucleotide ribosomal RNA is filed under the name uncultured bacterium. RNAcentral's name for it is "bacterial SSU rRNA". It matches the Rfam family "Bacterial small subunit ribosomal RNA", at positions 33 to 930 of the family's 1533-position model. The record is from RNAcentral.